CUAAUCCUGUAAUUACUCAGUAUAGUCCCAGGCUCGCGCCCACCUGCCUCCCCGGGUCGGCUGGACCUGCAGAACCACAGCCGGUUCCACAGGAUACAGGAAAAAAGCUUCCCUCUCAUUUCCCAAAGACGACAUCAUUCUACAAUAUGGAAAUGCUUUCCUAAACCAGGCAGUUCCUCAUGGAGAUUCUGAAGCGCGCCUGGUCCUAGCAGCAGGAUAAGGGGCUCAGAGGCGAGGAGCCGUCCACAGCCUGACAGGUGCAGAGCCGGCACCUGAGGCCCC
Capra hircus (goat) is the source of this 282-nucleotide long non-coding RNA. RefSeq lists it as uncharacterized. The record is from RefSeq and is a predicted model, not a curated record. The transcript is spliced from 3 exons. Lineage: Eukaryota; Metazoa; Chordata; Mammalia; Artiodactyla; Bovidae.